AAAUUUUAAUGUGCAUCCCUUCCAACAUGCUUUCUGAUAUAGCACUUUUAAGGAAUUUAGUCAAAGGGAAUAAUUACAGAGUGACGAAAAUGUUUAUUGUGCUGUUUAAAGGAAAGAAAAUUUACCCAAAUGUUCAUAAGACGGAAAUUGGCAAAAUGAAUUAUAGUGCAUCCAAACAAUAAAAAUGAUACAGCCACAGGAUAAAAUACCUGUGUAAUUAGUGUAGUGGAAAAAUGUCCAGAAUAUGUUAUUAAGUGGGACCAAAAAGCAAAAAACAAAAAGGAGGUUAACAAAAGUGGAGUUGGCCCUAGGUAUACUCAGUUCAUGCAGAUGCAAAGAUCAAAGUUCUACGGCUUCAAACGGCCAGGGGGCCAGUUCCUGCUUCUGGACCAAUGUUGUGCAAGAUGGGGGAGGAGGCUGGCCAUGAGCCUGGGGUGGGAUGGGCAUUUUUUUCUCCACCCCUGGCACAGCCAUGACAGAGCCCAGGAAUCAGACACCUGCACUAGAGCCUGCACUUCCUCCUCCAGGUGGAACGUGGGUGAGGUUUAAGGCCCUAGAACUUGAUGGGGAGACAAAGACAGGAGACGGUUCCCCUGUGUUCUACAGAGUCCUCCACAGCUGAAUCACUGCCCACUUCUGGGGGUCACAGAGAGCAAGGACACCAACACCUGGAGGAAGAAUCUCAGCUGAUAGACACAAUUUCCAGCCUCCCUUCGGGAUUAGAAGCAGCCACGUGACACACUUGAGUAAAUGCUUUGCAACCUGAGGGAUUCUGGGACUGCUCGGCCUCCUCUUUAGAGUCCCCCCCACACUUGUGGCUGCCUUUUUCCUUCUCCCUGCCUGGAAUAUAUGGAUGCAUUUGGAUGUAGAGCAGACAUUUUGUAACAUUGUGUAAGAAUAAAAGCUGCAUGCUAGGGGUUUGAGAAGA
Sus scrofa (pig) is the source of this 928-nucleotide non-coding RNA. The record is from RefSeq and is a predicted model, not a curated record. NCBI's taxonomy places the organism in Eukaryota, Metazoa, Chordata, Mammalia, Artiodactyla, Suidae.